GGAUAACCUACCCUUAGGACUGGGAUAACCCUGGGAAACUGGGGAUAAUACUAGAUAGGCAAUUUUUCCUGGAAUGGUUUUUUGUUUAAAUGUUUUUUCGCCUAAGGAUGGGUCUGCGGCCGAUUAGGUAGUUGGUUAGGUAACGGCUUACCAAGCCAUUGAUCUGUACGGGUUGUGAGAGCAAGAGCCCGGAGAUGGAACCUGAGACAAGGUUCCAGGCCCUACGGGGUGCAGCAGGCGCGAAACCUCCGCAAUGUGAGAAAUCGCGACGGGGGGAUCCCAAGUGCCAUUCUUAACGGGAUGGCUUUUCAUUAGUGUAAAGAGCUUUUGGAAUAAGAGCUGGGCAAGACCGGUGCCAGCCGCCGCGGUAACACCGGCAGCUCUGGUGGUAGCUACUUUUAUUGGGCCUAAAGCGUUCGUAGCCGGUUUGAUAAGUCACUGGUGAAAUCCUAUAGCUUAACUGUGGGAAUUGCUGGUGAUACUGUUGAACUUGAGGUCGGGAGAGGUUAGCGGUACUCCCAGGGUAGAGGUGAAAUUCUGUAAUCCUGGGAGGACCACCUGUGGCGAAGGCGGCUAACUGGAACGAACCUGACGGUGAGGGACGAAAGCCAGGGGCGCGAACCGGAUUAGAUACCCGGGUAGUCCUGGCCGUAAACGAUGCGGACUUGGUGUUGGGAUGGCUUUGAGCCGCUCCGGUGCCGAAGGGAAGCUGUUAAGUCCGCCGCCUGGGAAG
RNAcentral lists this ribosomal RNA (733 nucleotides) under uncultured archaeon. RNAcentral's name for it is "bacterial SSU rRNA". It matches the Rfam family "Archaeal small subunit ribosomal RNA", at positions 102 to 835 of the family's 1478-position model. The record is from RNAcentral.